Molecule: long non-coding RNA, 1832 nt
Organism: Poecilia reticulata (guppy)
Lineage: Eukaryota; Metazoa; Chordata; Actinopteri; Cyprinodontiformes; Poeciliidae
Source: RefSeq, a predicted model, not a curated record
CUGUCAUGUCUACCUGGCAGCUCUCCAAACUACACCUCCCACAAAGCCUUUGUUUUCACGACGAUUUCCUUCUGGAUUCAAAUAUCUACGUUGAAACGUGACGUCACACGCGCAAGAUCCCGCCCCCGGCAAACUCGACAAUGACUACCAUUGGUUAUAACUGUCAAGUCGUCAGCAUAACCCGCUAAAUCUUAAAUAUAAGCGUAAUAUAUAACAGGAAAUGGGACGCAAUGUUACUAACCUUGCUCUCUUAUCGACUGAAGGCGUGCAGGAGUCACAGUGCGCCAGGGACUCGGUGGACUGUGGGAACGUGUUUGGGACGCUGUAGCUGAAGCACUGGCCCAGACAGGCUCUGUACAACAAAGAGGAGAGAGUACAUGAACGUGCCUGCCCCACAGACAUGAUGUGCUGGAGUCGACCGAAGCGCUCGCGCCUGUGUAAGCAAGAGCUGCAGGGGGAAAAAAAACAGAGCGCCUGAAAUCUGAACUGAUUUACAAAGCCUGAGGAUUCUCAGAGGCCUCGGGGAAAACAUACACUCACAAAAUGGAGACUUGUUUUUCACAAAUGGUGGUCAUUUGAGAGUUUUCCGAUGGUAAAAUUGACAUCAGGUUUCAGAUGAAUGAAACAGUAAGCAGGCAGGAGAGAGGAGGGAAGACAUGCAGGAAAAGAAGUGAAAAUCAAACCCAGGACAACCGAGCUGAGGCCUGCAGCCUCUGCUUACGGCGCACUGAGCCUCGCAGCACCGUCAAAGUACUUUUACAAAGCUUUUUUAUGACAUAAACAUUAUCAAGAAAUGGAUAAUUGCACAGUGGACUCAAAUGAGCACAUUGUUUUUAAAAUAUGUUGCAAAUAAAAAUGCAAAACGGCUGUUGUGCAUGUGCAACAAACCUUUAUUACUCUCAUAACCCUAAAUAAAACCCAGAGUUUUCAGAAGAGACUCAGAUUCAGAUUUGUUUGCCAAAGCCAGCAAGGCCAUGAAAUAGUCCUAAGAGAAUUCAACAGAAGUACAAAUAAAUAUUUACAAAGUACAAAAGAAAUCUAGCAAACAAUAUAGUAAAAAAAUAAUGGUUAAGAAUGAAUUAAUUAUAUUUCACAGGUGGAAUAAAACUAUUAGUAACUUACUUGUCUGUGAUUUAAUCUCAGUGUAAGUUCAGGAGCUCUGUGAAACUAUCUGAGGUUUGUUAGAGAAUAAACAGCAUCAGUAAUAACAAGGAGCGCAGCAGAAGUGAAAGAACUGGUCUACAUGGCAUGUGUGGCAGAAAUCACUGUCAAAACAUAAUGGUGGCACCGUUAUGCUGUGGGAAUGUUUUUUUUUUUUCAGUAGGGACAGGGAAGCACUAAAGAUGUUACAGUCCAGGGAGAAACAGCAGCAAAAGAGGCUCAUGUUCCAGGACAACCACCCUAAAAUACAGCCAGAGCUACUAGCUACAGUACAGACAACAGAAUUCAUUGAGAGAAUCAAUGAUCAAAUCAAUGAAUUUGCAAAUAUAAUUAAAUGCUAAAAAGUGACAGUGUUAAACUUAGUGAUAAGAACCACAAUUCUUUAUGUGACUGGUGUCUUAAAACAGCGUUACAAGAGCAUUAUUUGCGUUUGUGUGGCUAUGACUGCUUUGUACACUGAAAAAAAAAACGAUGGAGGUCCAACUUUUAAAAAAUUGAUUUGUUUCAUGUAAUCAAGUUAAGUUUGUCAAACUUACUUUGUUUACGUUUGUGUAGCAUGACAACUUAAUGUAUUUACUUGAAUAAACUUAAUUGUACUUGUUACUUGUAACAAAUUAACAAAUUUUUUAAGUUGGAUCAACUGUUUAUUUUUUUCAGUGUACAGUCACAGC